RNAcentral lists this ribosomal RNA (351 nucleotides) under uncultured bacterium. RNAcentral describes it as "bacterial SSU rRNA". It matches the Rfam family "Bacterial small subunit ribosomal RNA", at positions 920 to 1271 of the family's 1533-position model. The record is from RNAcentral.
GACCCCGCACAAGCGGCGGAGCAUGCGGCUUAAUUCGAUGAUACCCGUAGAACCUUACCUGGACUUGACAUAUAGGGAAAAAACUAAAGAAAUUUAGUGUGCGUAAGCGCCCUAUACAGGUGGUGCAUGGCUGUCGUCAGCUCGUGUCGUGAGAUGUUGGUUAAGUCCCGCAACGAGCGCAACCCCUGUCCUAUGUUGCCAGCAAGUAAUGUUGGGGACUCUAGCCAGACUGCCUACGCAAGUAGUGAGGAAGGUGGGGACGACGUCAAGUCAUCAUGGCCCUUACGUCCAGGGCUGCACACGUGCUACAAUGGUCGGUACAAUGGUCGCCACCCAGCGAUGGGGCGCAAA